UAGGGAAUCUUCCACAAUGGGCGAAAGCCUGAUGGAGCAACGCCGCGUGAGUGAUGAAGGCCUUCGGGUUGUAAAACUCUGUCAUUCGGGACGAACCGGAGUCUGAGGAAAUGCAGACUCUCUGACGGUACCGGAGGAGGAAGCCCCGGCUAACUACGUGCCAGCAGCCGCGGUAAUACGUAGGGGGCAAGCGUUGUCCGGAUUCACUGGGCGUAAAGCGCGCGCAGGCGGUGAUGUAAGUCUGAGGUGAAAACCCUAAGCUCAACUUCGGGACUGCCUUGGAUACUGCGUCACUUGAGGAGAGGAGAGGCAAGGGGAAUUCCACGUGUAGCGGUGAAAUGCGUAGAGAUGUGGAGGAACACCUGUGGCGAAGGCGCCUUGCUGGCCUAUUUCUGACGCUGAGGCGCGAAAGCGUGGGGAGCAAACAGG
This 429-nucleotide ribosomal RNA is filed under the name Actinomycetes bacterium. Its description in RNAcentral is "Actinobacteria bacterium partial 16S ribosomal RNA". It matches the Rfam family "Bacterial small subunit ribosomal RNA", at positions 355 to 776 of the family's 1533-position model. Lineage: Bacteria; Bacillati; Actinomycetota; Actinomycetes. The record is from RNAcentral.